UACGGAGGGGGCUAGCGUUGUUCGGAAUUACUGGGCGUAAAGCGCACGUAGGCGGCUUUGUAAGUCAGAGGUGAAAUCCCGGAGCUCAACUUCGGAAUUGCCUCCGAUACUGCCGUGCUUGAGGACUGGAGAGGAGAUUGGAAUUCACAGUGGAGCAGUGAAAUGCGUAGAUAUUGUGAGGAACACUAGUGGCGAAGGCGAAUCUCUGGACAGUUCCUGACGCUGAGGCACGAAGGCCAGGGGAGCAAACGGG
This 253-nucleotide ribosomal RNA is filed under the name uncultured bacterium. RNAcentral's name for it is "partial 16S ribosomal RNA". It matches the Rfam family "Bacterial small subunit ribosomal RNA", at positions 524 to 776 of the family's 1533-position model. The record is from RNAcentral.